GGGUAGUGAGCAUAUAUGGUACAUGCGCUCGCCUGUUAAGCGAAGGAUAGCUGGUUCGAACCCAGCACUGCCCGCCA
This 77-nucleotide transfer RNA is filed under the name Pectobacterium phage DU_PP_V. RNAcentral's name for it is "tRNA-Asn". It matches the Rfam family "tRNA". From Rfam's summary of the family: Transfer RNA (tRNA) molecules are approximately 80 nucleotides in length. Lineage: Duplodnaviria; Heunggongvirae; Uroviricota; Caudoviricetes; Demerecviridae. The record is from RNAcentral.